AUGCAUGCUUCUAAGAUUCUUCUAAUUAGUUGUUUUUUAUGCAUUCAACAUACUAAGAAUCGAGUUGUUCUAUACAAUUUAAAAAAAUUACGUUGUUUUGUUGUAAUUAAAUUAAAAAUAUUCUACAUGCUAUAUUUCUGUUUCAAAUUAUGUAUCUAUCUGCUAUAUAUACAUAACAAAUAUAUCUUCAAUUAUACAACAAAAUGUGUCUCAUAA
Molecule: non-coding RNA, 216 nt
Organism: Vicia faba (fava bean)
Lineage: Eukaryota; Viridiplantae; Streptophyta; Magnoliopsida; Fabales; Fabaceae
Source: the annotation of a GenBank genome assembly